RNAcentral lists this long non-coding RNA (861 nucleotides) under Microcebus murinus (gray mouse lemur). RNAcentral's name for it is "lncRNA (ENSMICG00000048526.1)". The record is from RNAcentral. Lineage: Eukaryota; Metazoa; Chordata; Mammalia; Primates; Cheirogaleidae.
UCCUUUUCUCAGGUACGUGGGCUCGGGGACAAGAGGCCACUCUCUCAUGGGAGCCUUUUCUUUCUGAGAACCGCGCUUCCCCGCCGAGCACCACCCCCCACAUGAACAAAUAAACAAAGCGACUGCGUUUUCACUGCCUAGCACCGUGCCUGGCACAUAGUAGGUGCUCAUUAAACACACAUUCUCUCCCUCCUGAGUCUCACCUCGGUGCUCGAGAGAAAGACUCUCUGGAAAUGAAUGCACGUUUCUGCAAACCGCCCACGGGGUCCUUCUGUGCCCAACUAGGAGGACGCAGGACAGAGGCCAGACAAAAGCGGAGCGAGCCCCGACACCCGGCACAGCUACGCUCGCCGCCCCAGGGGGAUGCCCUGGAGGUCCAGCCCUCUUCCCCGUGGCCCCGGGGGACCACAGAGCCGGGCCCCAGAGUCUGGCAGGGAGGGGCUGUGCCCCCCAGCAGACGUGAGCUCCCUCCCACCAGACCCUCCGAGGAUCUGCGAACCGCGGGGCCCAGCCGUGCACGGAGACCGCUACGAGAUACCGGAGUGUCUUGGAGACCACGCGCACACACGUGCUCUGUCGUGCAAGGCCACGUUCCCUCAGGCACUUGAGAUAAAAAAAACGGUGAGACCGAGUCGAGGUCCCCGGGGAGCUCAGCGUAUCGUCGGUGGAGACAGCCGUGAUCCCAGGAGCGAUUAAACAUAACGUCCCGAGCCUGCCGGUGCCAUGCUGGCUGCGGAGCAAACCAAGGCACGGCCAGGGGAGAGACACGCAGGGUGCUCUUGCCGGGCUGGAGGGAGGCGUCCCUGGCUGGGGACCUCGGACAUUGGUGGUGGGGAGUCCGUCCUGGCCAUCACGAGCCUG